This 537-nucleotide ribosomal RNA is filed under the name uncultured bacterium. Its description in RNAcentral is "bacterial SSU rRNA". It matches the Rfam family "Bacterial small subunit ribosomal RNA", at positions 772 to 1304 of the family's 1533-position model. The record is from RNAcentral.
ACUAAAUAGAUACCCCGGUAGUCCACGCCCUAAACGAUGUCUACUAGUUGUUGGUGGAGUAAAAUCCAUGAGUAAACGCAGCUAAACGCGUGAAGUAGACCGCCUGGGGAGUACGGUCGCAAGAUUAAAACUCAAAGGAAUUGACGGGGGCCCGGCACAAGCGGUGGAUUAUGUGGAUUAAUUCGAUGCAACGCGAAAAACCUUACCUGGCCUUGACAUGCCACUAACGAAGCAGAGAUGCAUUAGGUGCCCGUAAGGGAAAGUGGACACAGGUGCUGCAUGGCUGUCGUCAGCUCGUGUCGUGAGAUGUUGGGUUAAGUCCCGCAACGAGCGCAACCCUUGCCAUUAAUUGCCAUCAUUUAGUUGGGCACUUUAAUGGGACUGCCGGUGACAAACCGGAGGAAGGUGGGGAUGACGUCAAGUCCUCAUGGCCCUUAUGGCCAGGGCUUCACACGUAAUACAAUGGUCGGUACAGAGAGUUGCCAACCCGCGAGGGGGAGCUAAUCUCAGAAAGCCGAUCGUAGUCCGGAUUGUUCU